UUGGUGUUCCCUUCUUGUUGAGAUUAUCCGAGUAUCUAGUUGUGAUGAUUCAGAUCUUCAUGUUUGUAUCCUUUAUGCUCGUUUGUCAGCAAGAUCAUGUACAUAUUCAUGCAUAAAAACAUAGAAUCAAAUAUUUCAUUGUGCAUUUUAUUGCAUUGACCUUUUUCUGAUCUCCUGCUUUGGUGAUAUUAUUUCCCCCGUGUAGAU
Molecule: long non-coding RNA, 207 nt
Filed under: Lathyrus oleraceus (garden pea)
Lineage: Eukaryota; Viridiplantae; Streptophyta; Magnoliopsida; Fabales; Fabaceae
Description: Pisum sativum (pea) long non-coding RNA (PSAT_LNC017419)
Source: RNAcentral